Molecule: ribosomal RNA, 1028 nt
Filed under: Cordyceps cicadae
Lineage: Eukaryota; Fungi; Ascomycota; Sordariomycetes; Hypocreales; Cordycipitaceae
Description: SSU rRNA
Rfam family: Eukaryotic small subunit ribosomal RNA
Source: RNAcentral
GGUAUAAGCAAUUAUACAGCGAAACUGCGAAUGGCUCAUUAUAUAAGUUAUCGUUUAUUUGAUAGUACCUUACUACUUGGAUAACCGUGGUAAUUCUAGAGCUAAUACAUGCUAAAAAUCCCGACUUCGGAAGGGAUGUAUUUAUUAGAUUAAAAACCAAUGCCCUCUGGGCUCCUUGGUGAUUCAUGAUAACUCUUCGAAUCGCACGGCCUUGCGCCGGCGAUGGUUCAUUCAAAUUUCUUCCCUAUCAACUUUCGAUGUUUGGGUAUUGGCCAAACAUGGUUGCAACGGGUAACGGAGGGUUAGGGCUCGACCCCGGAGAAGGAGCCUGAGAAACGGCUACUACAUCCAAGGAAGGCAGCAGGCGCGCAAAUUACCCAAUCCCGAUUCGGGGAGGUAGUGACAAUAAAUACUGAUACAGGGCUCUUUUGGGUCUUGUAAUUGGAAUGAGUACAAUUUAAAUCUCUUAACGAGGAACAAUUGGAGGGCAAGUCUGGUGCCAGCAGCCGCGGUAAUUCCAGCUCCAAUAGCGUAUAUUAAAGUUGUUGUGGUUAAAAAGCUCGUAGUUGAACCUUGGGCCUGGCUGGCCGGUCCGCCUCACCGCGUGCACUGGUCCGGCCGGGCCUUUCCCUCUGUGGAACCCCAUGCCCUUCACUGGGCGUGGCGGGGAAACAGGACGUUUACUUUGAAAAAAUUAGAGUGCUCCAGGCAGGCCUAUGCUCGAAUACAUUAGCAUGGAAUAAUGAAAUAGGACGCGUGGUUCUAUUUUGUUGGUUUCUAGGACCGCCGUAAUGAUUAAUAGGGACAGUCGGGGGCAUCAGUAUUCAAUUGUCAGAGGUGAAAUUCUUGGAUUUAUUGAAGACUAACUACUGCGAAAGCAUUUGCCAAGGAUGUUUUCAUUAAUCAGGAACGAAAGUUAGGGGAUCGAAGACGAUCAGAUACCGUCGUAGUCUUAACCAUAAACUAUGCCGACUAGGGAUCGGACGAUGUUAUUUUUUGACGCGUUCGGCACCUUACGAGAAAUCAAA